RNAcentral lists this unclassified non-coding RNA (260 nucleotides) under uncultured fungus. RNAcentral describes it as "sequence contains ITS1". Lineage: Eukaryota; Fungi. The record is from RNAcentral.
GUAUUUUGUUAAAGCUCCAUAGAGCCAACUGACAUGCGUUUAAACUGGUAUUAGUGUAUAUGAAGAGACAAGCCGACUCAGUUUCAAACCCUUGCAGGCUUGAAACGACUCCAGUUCCAAAGGAUCUGGGAGGGACUCGUCAAGGUGCACAAAUGGUGUGUAUGGAUUGAAAUAGAGAGCGAGCACAUUGCCUUGAAUAAAGCCAGCUACAACUCUCAGUUCAUACUAUAAUGAUCCUUCCGCAGGUUCACCUACGGAAA